GUGUUUAUGAAACUUGAAAUUACUUACCCGUGUCCGUUUUUUGUGUCUUACCUGUUUUCUAGAAGUUACCUCCAGCACGCCUGCCUCCCUGCCUGAGAAACACUUACUGCAUUCUCCCGAGUUCCAUGUGCAGCCACCUCCGAGGAUCUGUAAAUAUAACCACACCUGUAAAUAUUCACCUAUGGAAACCUCACCUGUUGGACCAACUCCUCCAAGACUCAUCUCCUUCUCCAACUUGUCCCGUCYCCAAGACCCCUGCACCUGUAUAUAAUAAACUCACUUACCUUUUUA
Austrofundulus limnaeus is the source of this 291-nucleotide long non-coding RNA. RefSeq lists it as uncharacterized. NCBI's taxonomy places the organism in Eukaryota, Metazoa, Chordata, Actinopteri, Cyprinodontiformes, Rivulidae. The transcript is spliced from 2 exons. The record is from RefSeq and is a predicted model, not a curated record.